RNAcentral lists this ribosomal RNA (396 nucleotides) under Olavius algarvensis Delta 1 endosymbiont. RNAcentral's name for it is "bacterial SSU rRNA". It matches the Rfam family "Bacterial small subunit ribosomal RNA", at positions 1 to 374 of the family's 1533-position model. Lineage: Bacteria; Deltaproteobacteria. The record is from RNAcentral.
AUUCAAUUGGAGAGUUUGAUCCUGGCUCAGAAUGAACGCUGGCGGCGUGCUUAACACAUGCAAGUCGCACGAGAACGCUUCAGCUUGCUGAAGUUAGUAAAGUGGCGCACGGGUGAGUAACGCGUGGGUAAUCUUCCCCCGAGUCGGGGAUAACAUUGCGAAAGCGAUGCUAAUACCGGAUAACAUCUCAGGCACUCAGGUGCUUGAGAUCAAAGGUGGCCUCUACAUGUAAGCUACUGUUUGGGGAUGAGCCCGCGUACCAUUAGCUUGUUGGUAGGGUAAUGGCCUACCAAGGCUGCGAUGGUUAGCUGGUCUGAGAGGAUGAUCAGCCACACUGGAACUGACACACGGUCCAGACUCCUACGGGAGGCAGCAGUGAGGAAUUUUGCGCAAUGG